Echinops telfairi (small Madagascar hedgehog) is the source of this 142-nucleotide small nuclear RNA. RefSeq annotates it as U4 spliceosomal RNA. The transcript has a single exon. The record is from RefSeq and is a predicted model, not a curated record. NCBI's taxonomy places the organism in Eukaryota, Metazoa, Chordata, Mammalia, Afrosoricida, Tenrecidae.
AGCUUUGCGCAGUGGCAGUAUCGUAGCCAGUGAGGUUUAUCCAAGGUGUGAUUAUUGCCAAUCGAAAAGUCAAAAUAGGAAUUUGGAGGUCCUCAAGGGGCUCAAAUUAUGUUCCUUUGAAAUGUUGAGUUUGAGGAAUAAA